This 513-nucleotide ribosomal RNA is filed under the name uncultured bacterium. RNAcentral describes it as "bacterial SSU rRNA". It matches the Rfam family "Bacterial small subunit ribosomal RNA", at positions 8 to 518 of the family's 1533-position model. The record is from RNAcentral.
AGAGUUUGAUUAUGGCUCAGGAUGAACGCUAGCUACAGGCUUAACACAUGCAAGUCGAGGGGUAGCAGGGUAGCAAUACCGCUGACGACCGGCGCACGGGUGAGUAACACGUAUCCAACCUUCCCAUAACUCAGGGAUAGCCUUUCGAAAGAAAGAUUAAUACCUGAUAGUACUUUUUCAAGGCAUCUUGAGAAAGUUAAAGAUUUAUUGGUUAUGGAUGGGGAUGCGUUCCAUUAGAUAGUUGGUGAGGUAACGGCUCACCAAGUCUUCGAUGGAUAGGGGUUCUGAGAGGAAGGUCCCCCACAUUGGUACUGAGACACGGACCAAACUCCUACGGGAGGCAGCAGUGAGGAAUAUUGGUCAAUGGGCGAGAGCCUGAACCAGCCAAGUAGCGUGAAGGAUGAAGGUCCUAUGGAUUGUAAACUUCUUUUAUAGUAGAAUAAAGUGAUCCACGUGUGGAUUUUUGUAUGUAUACUAUGAAUAAGGAUCGGCUAACUCCGUGCCAGCAGCUGC